Molecule: long non-coding RNA, 242 nt
Filed under: Sorghum bicolor (sorghum)
Lineage: Eukaryota; Viridiplantae; Streptophyta; Magnoliopsida; Poales; Poaceae
Description: long non-coding RNA (SBIC_LNC000382)
Source: RNAcentral
AUAGUUCUAAUAUUCAAAAUAAAAAUAUUUUGGCAGAUGGCUCGUACCCGCCUAACCGCUCGCAAGUCCACCGGAGGUCGUGUCCCAAGGCACCAGUUGGCAUCAAGGGAUCCGCCACCCUCCGACAGCAGCGACAGCAGCACUGAUAACUCCAGCGAUGGAAACGGGAGUGACACUAGCGGAGGUCCUCCUUCGCCAAGGACCUACAGGCUUAUGAAGAAUGAUCUGCGCUUGAUGCUCAC